UUACGGCCAUAUCACGUUGAAAUACCGGUUCUCGUACGAACACCGAAGUUAAGCAACAAUGAAUCUGGUCAGUACCUAGAUGGGUAGCCGCUUGGGAAUACCAGCUGCUGUAA
This is a non-coding RNA of Acanthosepion pharaonis, 113 nucleotides long. NCBI's taxonomy places the organism in Eukaryota, Metazoa, Mollusca, Cephalopoda, Sepiida, Sepiidae. The record is from the annotation of a GenBank genome assembly.